Molecule: ribosomal RNA, 466 nt
Filed under: uncultured bacterium
Lineage: Bacteria
Description: bacterial SSU rRNA
Rfam family: Bacterial small subunit ribosomal RNA
Source: RNAcentral
GGACCCGCACAAGCAGCGGAGCAUGUGGUUUAAUUCGACGCAACGCGAAGAACCUUACCAAGGUUUGACAUCGUCUGACAGACGUGGAAACACGUUCUCCUUAGCAAUAAGGCAGAUAGACAGGUGGUGCAUGGUUGUCGUCAGCUCGUGUCGUGAGAUGUUGGGUUAAGUCCCGCAACGAGCGCAACCCUUAUGAACAGUUGCCAAUAUUAAGUUAGGAACUCUGUUCAGACUGCCGUGGAUAACACGGAGGAAGGUGGGGAUGACGUCAAAUCAUCACGCCCCUUACAUCUUGGGCUACACACGUGCUACAAUGGCCGUAACAAAGAGCUGCGAAGCAGUAAUGCCAAGCGAAUCUCAUAAAAGCGGCCUCAGUUCAGAUUGUGGGCUGCAACCCGCCCACAUGAAGUCGGAGUUGCUAGUAAUCGCGAAUCAGCACGUCGCGGUGAAUGCGUUCCCGGGUCUU